Molecule: ribosomal RNA, 515 nt
Filed under: uncultured bacterium
Lineage: Bacteria
Description: partial 16S ribosomal RNA
Rfam family: Bacterial small subunit ribosomal RNA
Source: RNAcentral
GAUGAACGCUGGCGGCGUGCCUAAUACAUGCAAGUCGGGCGAAUGGAUUAAGAGCUUGCUCUUAUGAAGUUAGCGGCGGACGGGUGAGUAACACGUGGGUAACCUGCCCAUAAGACUGGGAUAACUCCGGGAAACCGGGGCUAAUACCGGAUAAUAUUUUGAACUGCAUGGUUCAAAAUUGAAAGGCGGCUUCGGCUGUCCUUUAUGGAUGGACCCGCGUCGCAUUAGCUAGUUGGUGAGGUAACGGCUCACCAAGGCAACGAUGCGUAGCCGACCUGGGAGGGUGAUCGGCCACACUGGGACUGAGACACGGCCCAGACUCCUACGGGAGGCAGCAGUAGGGAAUCUUCCGCAAUGGACGAAAGUCUGACGGAGCAACGCCGCGUGAGUGAUGAAGGCUUUCGGGUCGUAAAACUCUGUUGUUAGGGAAGAACAAGUGCUAGUUGAAUAAGCUGGCACCUUGACGGUACCUAACCAGAAAGCCACGGCUAACUACGUGCCAGCCGCCGCCGUAA